AAAGUAUGAGAAACAAGGAAAAGCUUCUAACUUAUUCCUUAAGCGGCGCACCACCGUUUAUACUUUU
RNAcentral lists this transfer RNA (67 nucleotides) under Litostylus pudens. Its description in RNAcentral is "tRNA-Ser". The record is from RNAcentral. Lineage: Eukaryota; Metazoa; Arthropoda; Insecta; Coleoptera; Curculionidae.